Molecule: ribosomal RNA, 1224 nt
Filed under: human metagenome
Description: bacterial LSU rRNA
Rfam family: Bacterial large subunit ribosomal RNA
Source: RNAcentral
CCGACGGGAGAAGUGUUGUUAAGGAACUCGGCAAAAUGACCCCGUAACUUAGGGAGAAGGGGAGCCACGCAAGUGGCCGCAGAAAAGAGGCUCAAGCGACUGUUUAGCAAAAACACAGGUCUCUGCGAAACCGAAAGGUGAAGUAUAGGGGCUGACACCUGCCCGGUGCUGGAAGGUUAAAAGGAGAGGUUCGACGUAAGUCAAAGCUUUGAAUUCAAGCCCCAGUAAACGGCGGCCGUAACUAUAACGGUCCUAAGGUAGCGAAAUUCCUUGUCAGGUAAGUUCUGACCCGCACGAAAGGUGUAACGAUUUGAGCACUGUCUCGACAACACGCCCGGUGAAAUUGAAGAACCAGUGAAGAUACUGGUUACCCGCAACAGGACGGAAAGACCCCAUGGAGCUUUACUGCAGCCUGAUACUGGGAUUCGAUGAUGUAUGUACAGGAUAGGAGGGAGACUGCGAAGGUAGGACGCCAGUCUUGCCGGAGUCGCCGGUGGGAUACCUCUCUUACAUCAUUGGAUUUCUAACCUGCAUCCGUGAACCGGAUGAGGGACAAUGUCAGGCGGGCAGUUUGACUGGGGCGGUCGCCUCCAAAAGAGUAACGGAGGCGCUCAAAGGUCUUCUCAGAAUGAUUGGAAACCAUUCAAAGAGUGUAAAGGCAAAAGAAGGCUUGACUGCGAGGUCGACGGACCGAGCAGGUACGAAAGUAGGACUUAGUGAUCCGGUGGUAAUACGUGGGAAUGCCAUCGCUCAACGGAUAAAAGCUACCCUGGGGAUAACAGGCUGAUCUCCCCCAAGAGUUCACAUCGACGGGGAGGUUUGGCACCUCGAUGUCGGCUCAUCGCAUCCUGGGGCUGAAGUAGGUCCCAAGGGUUGGGCUGUUCGCCCAUUAAAGCGGUACGCGAGCUGGGUUCAGAACGUCGUGAGACAGUUCGGUCCCUAUCCGUUGUGGGCGUAGGAAAUUUGAGAGGAGCUGUCCUUAGUACGAGAGGACCGGGAUGGACGAACCGCUGGUGUAUCUGUUGCAUACCAAAUGCACGGCAGAGUAGCUAAGUUCGGAACGGAUAAACGCUGAAGGCAUCUAAGCGUGAAGCCGCCCUCAAGACGAGAUUUCCCAUUCGAAAGAAGUAAGACCCCUUGAAGACUACGAGGUAGAUAGGUCAGAGGUGUAAGUGCGGUAACGUAUUGAGCUUACUGAUACUAAUAGGUCGAGGGCUUGACCGA